AGAGACAGCAGCAGCCGCGGUAAUACGGAGGGUGCAAGCGUUAAUCGGAAUUACUGGGCGUAAAGCGCACGCAGGCGGUUUGUUAAGUCAGAUGUGAAAUCCCCGAGCUUAACUUGGGAACUGCAUUUGAAACUGGCAAGCUAGAGUCUUGUAGAGGGGGGUAGAAUUCCAGGUGUAGCGGUGAAAUGCGUAGAGAUCUGGAGGAAUACCGGUGGCGAGGGCGGCCCCCUGGACAAAGACUGACGCUCAGGUGCGAAGGCGUGGGGAGCAAACAGGAUUAGAUACCCCUGUAGUCCCUGUCUCUUAUAC
RNAcentral lists this ribosomal RNA (309 nucleotides) under uncultured bacterium. RNAcentral's name for it is "partial 16S ribosomal RNA". It matches the Rfam family "Bacterial small subunit ribosomal RNA", at positions 504 to 807 of the family's 1533-position model. The record is from RNAcentral.